CCAGACUCCUACGGGAGGCAGCAGUGGGGAAUAUUGGGCAAUGGGCGCAAGCCUGACCCAGCAACGCCGCGUGAAGGAAGAAGGCUUUCGGGUUGUAAACUUCUUUUCUCAGGGACGAAGCAAGUGACGGUACCUGAGGAAUAAGCCACGGCUAACUACGUGCCAGCAGCCGCGGUAAUACGUAGGUGGCAAGCGUUGUCCGGAUUUACUGGGUGUAAAGGGCGUGUAGCCGGGCUGACAAGUCAGAUGUGAAAUCCCGUGGCUCAACCACGGAACUGCAUUUGAAACUGUCGGUCUUGAGUAUCGGAGAGGCAGGCGGAAUUCCUAGUGUAGCGGUGAAAUGCGUAGAUAUUAGGAGGAACACCAGUGGCGAAGGCGGCCUGCUGGACGACAACUGACGGUGAGGCGCGAAAGCGUGGGGAGCAAACAGGAUUAGAUACCCUCGUAA
RNAcentral lists this ribosomal RNA (448 nucleotides) under uncultured bacterium. Its description in RNAcentral is "bacterial SSU rRNA". It matches the Rfam family "Bacterial small subunit ribosomal RNA", at positions 331 to 793 of the family's 1533-position model. The record is from RNAcentral.